GGCAGUUUAGGGUUUGGCUGCUAACCAAAAGGUCGGCAGUUCAAAUCCACCAGCUGCUC
This 59-nucleotide transfer RNA is filed under the name Loxodonta africana (African savanna elephant). Lineage: Eukaryota; Metazoa; Chordata; Mammalia; Proboscidea; Elephantidae. The record is from Rfam by way of RNAcentral.